Long non-coding RNA from Sparus aurata (gilthead seabream), 2271 nucleotides. The record is from Ensembl. NCBI's taxonomy places the organism in Eukaryota, Metazoa, Chordata, Actinopteri, Spariformes, Sparidae.
AUGGACGGCGAGUUUGACAGAGAAAUAGAUGAUGACGGGUGGGGACCGAUUACGGGACUUAGGACUGUCGAGGAGCAGGUGUUGGCUCUCAAUAAAGUGAUAGAUCGAACACACGAACCCCGGUCAGCGGCAGAAGAAAAAUCUAAGCUAAAAGCAGCAGUGAUAAAAUUGAUGCAGGAGAAAAAGAGAAGCAUGCAAGGUCAAGGUAACUUAAAGGCUGAGUUUUGGAAAAAAGAAGAGGAAGCCAAGCAAAGGGAGGAGAAAGAGAUAGAGGAAGGGAAAAUAUGCGGACUCAUAAAUAAGGGAAAGCAUAAGAAAGCACAGGCAAAAGCCAGUGAGGAGAGAGCUCAAUGGAGCAAAUGGGCUAUGUGGUGGCAGGGAGUAAAACACCUCAUGACUGAAGAGUCCAAAAAACAAAAAAUAGACAACCCCCCGGUUCCAAAUCCCCCACCGUACUCGACUGCAUGUCCAAGUGCUCCGCUUACUAAACCUACACCGGGUAUAUAUCCCUCACUGCAGAUAACAUCAGGGAAAAUCUAUAUAGAUAACGCCCAAGAUAGUGACUGGACAGAAUCACGUAGCAGUAUAAGCGUUACGGCAGCUUCAGAAAUAACAUCUCACGCACCGCUUCCCACACCCCAAAGGCAGGACACUGCUCAGAAGCAGACAAAUCAUAUUGAGCCAGAGCCGUUUUUAUUAAGGGGACAGAGAGACGGAACAAAUCAGGAAGUGCAGUUAGGCCUUUCUGAGGCGGAUUUGAUAAAAUGGAUGCGGCCGAAAGAAAAGGAGGGAGCAAAGACACCAGAAGGGGCCUGCGGGCCCGAUAUAGAUAGGUGGGUGCAGGGAGCACAGGGAGGAAAAGACAAAUCAGAAGAAAGAAAGAGACUACUUAGAGAAAAAUUGACACAGAUACAAUUGCAGGAGGAAAAAGAAAAAAUAGUCGAAGACAAAAUUGCCCGAUUCCUACAUGAAAGGGAAGACAGAGAAGGGGAGAUUGAAAUGUCAGCAAAAGGCAGGUGGGAAUCAGGACCCUAUAGGGACGAGGAAGCUGAGGUGGCAAUGCAUGCGAGGGGAGUAUGGGGCGAAGAUAACGACGGAAAAGCGUUAGAACAGCUAGAACAAGAGAUCGAAGAGUCACACCGGGUUAUGAAGGAACUGACCGAAAAGGCCCGCAUGCAAACUAGGUCUCAGACAGGACAUUCAUCUAGACCACCUAUCCGAUAUCAACUCCCACUGAUACAGGCAGGUUCGAGCAAUACUAUGCAGUACCGUCCAUUCCCCAUAGGUGAUGUCCAAGCCUUAGUGGAUAAACUACCCCCCGUGGCAGAAGGAGGGUCCUUAUGGUUGAGUCAGCUAGAUAAAUUGACAGCUGGCCAAAAGCUCGCGUUAGGAGAUUUCAGGGCAGUAAUAAGUAGAUGCCUUACAGGGUCUGAUGUACGGGACCUUGAGGAAGAUGCAGGCACAAAUAAAGACAGAGAUGAUAUCCCUUUUACUACUGUUAGCACAAAAAUGGGUCAGGCCAUGAGGGUUAAAUAUCCUCUUCCUAGUGCCGCUGCAGUACCAAAGCUAAAAUGGGACACAAAACAAAGCCCGCGUGAGUAUUUAGACCAUAGUAAGGACAUGUGGAUCAAACAAACCGGGUGCCACCCCGGAAAAGAAGGCGUACAGAGAGAGUGGUAUAGGGCGGCCGUCUUAAAGGGUGUUCCAGAGGAGGUGAGAAAAGCCAUGGAAAAUAACCCUGACAUGGCAGGUUGCGAUUCCACAGUGUGGGACCGCCACCUCAUACAUCAUUUGUUGCGAGCUCAGGAUAAAGUAGAGGAUGAGAGUCAGACAGUAAAAGACCUGCAGGCUCAAUUACUGAAAAUACAGCUGGCAGAGGCCAGGCAAAAAGCCAACGAUAAGAAAAAGCCUGAUAAAAAAGUGCUGGUAGCUACACAGGGCGCCGCAGGAACCCCAGACCUUUACCCAACACCACCCUGGGUCCAGCCACCUCCUUAUCAAAAUCAAAACCAACAGCAGAGGCCCACGCGGGGGUAUGGUAGGGGCAGAGGCUCAUGGGGAGGCGGGCGUGGAAGGGGCGGUCCACCUAGGGGAGGACAAGGGAGAGGUCGUUGCUACUAUUGUGAGGAGACAGGACACUGGGUGAGAGAUUGUCCACACAUUGGAGAGCAGAAACCUCCACAGCCUCGCGGGCAGAGUGCUCCGGCGGCGCGCCAGCUUCCCGCGUUCGGAUGGGAACGCUGGGACGGAGAGGCGCACCAACAACAAUAG